AUUUUUCUUCCACGGUACUUGCACAGAUUCUGGAGAAAACUGUUGAGAGACAGAGAGAAGAGUUGAAGAAAGAAAAGGAUGAACAUCAGAAUGAGAAAACAAAACGUAUCAAGUGUGAACGGACUAUUAUGGAGGCAGUCAGGAAAACUGAAAAGGGAAAAGCAACCGUUUUAAGUGAGCUUGAGAAAUACCAACUGGCUUUGAAGCGUAUCUCAGAAGAACUAGAAAAGCUCAAACAUGCAGAGGGCAAUCUUCCUCAGGGUACCUCAGUGGUUCAGCUUCUUUCUGGCACCAUCUCUGAUGAUCAUGCUUCCCCGCAUCUUUCUGCUACAGAGGAUUUUUAGAGAGCAGCACGUUCAAUUCUAAGUGAGCUUGGAAGUGGCCCCAGUUCUGGAGAUGUUCCUUAAGUAGACAGUUCUGCUGCCGUCUUAACAGGCACAGCAGUUCCGGAUCGGGGUCCUGUUACUACAUCCUCAACAGUACAUGAAACAAGUCAGCAUCAACCAGCUAAAGCAUCUGAAGAGAGGAGAUCUAUUGUACCUAAAACCAAUACUGAAACUCGUAAAACGGGGAGGAAGCUUGUCCGCCCACGUAUUGUCAAAGCUGAAGAGCGGCAAGGUGAUGUGGAGAUGACAGAAGCUACGUCACAUGAUGUUGAUGCUCAAGGGACUCAACAAUCAGCUUGCGAACGUCAGGCUUCUGCCACAACUGAGUUGAGUGAGGAUUUACCAGUUCCUGGGGAGACCAGCACGGAUGUGGUUGCAUCUGCUCUU
Molecule: long non-coding RNA, 773 nt
Organism: Hibiscus syriacus
Lineage: Eukaryota; Viridiplantae; Streptophyta; Magnoliopsida; Malvales; Malvaceae
Exons: 4
Source: RefSeq, a predicted model, not a curated record